RNAcentral lists this ribosomal RNA (499 nucleotides) under uncultured bacterium. RNAcentral's name for it is "bacterial SSU rRNA". It matches the Rfam family "Bacterial small subunit ribosomal RNA", at positions 903 to 1397 of the family's 1533-position model. The record is from RNAcentral.
AAAUGAAUAGACGGGGGCCCGCACAAGCGGAGGAACAUGUGGUUUAAUUCGAUGAUACGCGAGGAACCUUACCUGGGAUUGAAAUGCAUAGGGAGGCGACCUGAAAGGGACGCUGUUCUCUUCGGAGACUUAUGUGUAGGUGCUGCAUGGUUGUCGUCAGCUCGUGCCGUGAGGUGUCGGCUUAAGUGCCAUAACGAGCGCAACCCUCAUCGUUAGUUGCUAUCAGGUAAAGCUGAGGACUCUAGCGAGACUGCCGUCGUAAGGCGAGAGGAAGGUGGGGAUGACGUCAAAUCAGCACGGCCCUUAUAUCCAGGGCGACACACGUGUUACAAUGGUGAGGACAAAGGGUAGCUACCUGGUGACAGGAUGCCAAUCUCCAAACCUCAUCUCAGUUCGGAUCGAAGUCUGCAACUCGACUUCGUGAAGCUGGAUUCGCUAGUAAUCGCGCAUCAGCCAUGGCGCGGUGAAUACGUUCCCGGGCCUUGUACACACCGCCCGU